GCCCUGAUGGCUCAGUUGGUUAGAGCGCAGGUCUCAUAAUCCUGAGGUCGCAAGUUCGAACCUUGCUCAGGGCA
RNAcentral lists this transfer RNA (74 nucleotides) under Suillus luteus UH-Slu-Lm8-n1. Its description in RNAcentral is "tRNA-Met (CAT) (tRNA-Met-CAT-2-1, tRNA-Met-CAT-2-2)". It matches the Rfam family "tRNA". From Rfam's summary of the family: Transfer RNA (tRNA) molecules are approximately 80 nucleotides in length. Their secondary structure includes four short double-helical elements and three loops (D, anti-codon, and T loops). Lineage: Eukaryota; Fungi; Basidiomycota; Agaricomycetes; Boletales; Suillaceae. The record is from RNAcentral.